GAAAAAGCUUGAUGGGUUCACCUGCUCUUUUAGAGUGCAUAAUGUCCUUUCUAACCGGUGGAGGGCAGAAAAGAGCUCUCAGUAUUGUUCUGUGUCUUGGAACUGCAGGUUUUCCACAAAAGAAAAUUUGGUUGUGUCAAGGAAAUUCAAAGACCCAGUAAGAUUCUUCACCUGAAGCUCAUUUGGAGUGCAUCAGUUUGUCACAUCCCAAAGGAAGGUGUUAAAGAUAUCUCAGAUGACCCAUCCUCUGGAAGUGCCUAUUUAUUUCCAGUGGCCAUAGAGGGAUCCCAGACAGCUACCUCAGAUACUGAUGUCGGUGCAGAUCCAGAGAUUAAGCAAACAAGUGGAAAUGCCCCUCCCUCUUUUUCCUGCCACCUGCCCUAUGUCUUUCCCCUGACUUCAAGGACUUAGCUCCAAUCUUUCAUCCUCAGUUAAUAUGAGAACUAAAGGAUGAUUUGCUUUCCAAUUCUUUUUAAGAAGAGAAACAAUCAUUUUGAAGGAAAUCUGUAGAUAGUUUAUGUUAGUGCUCAAUUACCCAUCAUUCAGACAAGGGUAAAUAUUAGGAUUUGAGAAUCUAGCACAAGUAAUAGAUUUUUCUUUUUUAGGGAAAACAGCCUAUUUGCUUUAAAGCCAAGCAUUGACUGUUUCAAUAUGUUCAAGCCUAGAAGGCUGAAAACGACAACACAGAUGUGAUUCACAUAGGGAUCACCAGCAUGGUGCUUCUGUGUUCUGGCUUGUUGGAAAGCUUCCAGGGGAUUUAGGAAGAGAACAUACUGCAGAAAUGCAAACCAUUAUUUAGCCAAUUAGUUAGGAAAAUGUGUUGUUUCAGCAUGAUCAGAUUUAGCUUUGUUAAUUUUUAUUUGUUCUCAUUAAAAUUUCCACACACAGAACAAAAUAUUUAGUCACAGAGCUGUUAUCUUUAGUUAAAAUGGCUAUUUAUCAAUCAGAUGUUGUUUGAGAAUAUCCUGUGUAUGGAGGAGCUUACAUAUCUCCUAGGUGACUGUAGGAACAAAGUAGAAGCACACUGCGUAACAGCAAGGCACAUCCAUUAUUCUUUUAGCAGUGUAGUAUUUGAGUAUAUUUUGUACAUUGAAUUUAUCUGAUUAUUUUGAACCUAUAAAAUCUAAUUAAAACACCUUUAGUAUUAGAUUCCUCUUUCCUAGAAAUUGCCAGUAUGUUUGGUCUGGGGAGAGGUGAGAGAGACUGUAGAAAAAUGCCCCUCAGCGAUGUUGUUGUUCUUGCAUAAUAUCCUUAUGGACUGGUACAACUGAGCAAUGCACAGCCAUUUUUUAAGUGUGUAGGUAAAUCACUUUGUUUUAAGUAAGCAUGAGACGUAUUAAGGUUUUCUUGGUCUUUAGAUAAUCUACUAUAGAUGCAGAAAUUUGUAGAUGAGAAUCAAAAGUGGUUUUACAGGAAGGACUUUCCAGGUUUUCCACAUAGUAAUGAAAUAUGAUAUAAAGCAACACAGUGUCAAUAAAUCUACAGGAUAAAGGUCAGGUUUACAUCGAUGGACAGAGCUGGCAAAUACAUUUGUUCCUGCAAUGUCUGUGUUUUAAAUGCCAACCUCUGAUGAACCCAGUGUAGAAAUACACUUUAGGGUUUGAUGAGAUGUCAGUUUUGUUCAGUGCUGAUCAAAUAAGAUGAAUGAAAGUGAAACAAGAACAAAAAUAUUACUUCUGUCAUUUAUUUUUUAUGCAUUACAGGAAGUGGGUCAGUCAGGGAGAUUUCUCUUAAACAAAUAGCAAUCACUGCACAAUAUCACCCAUUGAUCUAUUUCACAGCAGGCAAUAGCCUUUUUGUCAGAAAGGACAUACCAUUCAAAUACCACAGAAUACAUAGAAAUGCCCAUGACAGGUUUGAAAAGUAUCUUCCCCUCCUUUUAUUGCCAAGAUUGCCAAGCCAUCUCCUUUCACAAAUCAAUCUAAGCAGCAGAGGCAGAGCAUUGAAGAAAA
This is a non-coding RNA of Meleagris gallopavo (turkey), 1952 nucleotides long. The record is from RefSeq and is a predicted model, not a curated record. Lineage: Eukaryota; Metazoa; Chordata; Aves; Galliformes; Phasianidae.